Molecule: long non-coding RNA, 223 nt
Filed under: Fukomys damarensis (Damara mole-rat)
Lineage: Eukaryota; Metazoa; Chordata; Mammalia; Rodentia; Bathyergidae
Description: lncRNA (ENSFDAG00000025536.1)
Source: RNAcentral
CCGUCUCAACUGGGAAGGGAAACACCCCGACUGUUCCUUCAGACAGUUUGAAGAGAAUUAGUGCACUGCAGUGGUUUUAGAGUGUGAAGAAGCUGGGAUGCUCCCCGGUGCCCAUGCAGCCCCCCGUCUGGAAGGUCCCAUCUACCCAGGAGAUUGCACCUCGAGAGGUUGAGGUUCUUGUCUGAGCUCCCAUAACUACUGAGAGACAGACACUCCGGCCCCA